This is a long non-coding RNA of Dama dama (fallow deer), 2244 nucleotides long. RefSeq lists it as uncharacterized. The record is from RefSeq and is a predicted model, not a curated record. The transcript is spliced from 4 exons. Lineage: Eukaryota; Metazoa; Chordata; Mammalia; Artiodactyla; Cervidae.
GGAACCGUGUCUCAUGAUGUGUGAGAUCAGAAACGUCGGAGGGGGGAGUGUGUCCACUCAUCUCCCACUUUUCUGAAAGCACGACCACCCGAGUCCCUGUGUGUGUGUCUGUUUUUCUCUGUUCGGGGGACAGGUGCGUCAGGGUAACACGGGGGUCAGGACUGGCUGCAGUGAGACUGGGGCGUGUGGCGGCUGCUCAGCAGUCUACCGUCUUUGCGUUCUUCAGAGAUUGUGGGGGGCAUGUCUCACAUUUGCCAUUUCUGAAGAUGUUAUCUCAAGAAGUAUUUGUGAGGACCAAACUAUGCAUCAUUCUACAGUCCUGAAGGGUUUUACAUGUAAAGUUCUCUCUUUUUUCCUCCACUUUCUAUAUCCACAACAGUACAUUUCUAGGGUCAUAGCAUUGAUAAACAUGUAUUGUUCUUUUUCAUGUACACAAAAAACUGCCUCAUUCAGAACAGUAAAUACUUUUUACUUUUGCCCUGACUCCCCAUGUUUGCUUUCUAGACUCAAGUGAGGAGCCAUUCACUUGAUGCUCCAGCCAAUUCCCAGCUUUGCUUCCAGCGACUCAGGGUUGCCCCCGAGACUGCUGCAAAGGGCCCCCAGAGCCGGUGCCAGCGGCCAGACACUUGGAAACUUCGGGACACGGUGAAAGGCCGAAGACUGCAACUCUGGGGUCCUGUGAAUAAAACCUUCCCAGAUCUUUGAGAAACCUUCACUUACAGAGAUGGCCUUCAUACGGUGGAGAUACACAGCACCUUUCCGUGUGGCUGACUGACGUCACUGAACACAGUCUUCGGGCUUCCCCGUGUUGCAGCAGAGACUCUGUUGUUGCUGGUUGCGGGCUUCCCGGUGGCCCCCCUUCUGCUGGGGCCCUGGGGCUGAGGGUGCACGGCUGCCUGCCUGCCCGCCCGCUGCCCAGGAAGUGUCUGCCUCUCCAGGAGGACGAGAGACGUCCAGCUGACUUCCCCUCGAUGGAAGGAGUGAUGUGGCUUGCUGUCACCUCAUGGGUGAGCAGAGAGAUGUGCCUGCCAGGCUCAGAGUGCAUGCCGCCUGGCUUUUGGUCCAGGAGGAAUCCAGCACUUCACCAGCUGCCCAGGGAGACAGCAUAAGACACCACGGGCAGGACGUGUGGGAAAGUGGUCUCUUGGAACUAGUGUGUCCCCUGGUCUGGUGGGGUGGCCAUGUGUGGCCACGUGACCCGCACAUCCUUCAGGCAAUUGUCUCCCCAGGACCAGAGCCUCUGCCCUGGGCAUGCUCAGAGCCUUCAACACAGCCUCCUCCUCCCAAAGGGCAGAGUGGCGCUGCUCAGGGGGCCAUUGGGGGGCCACGGCCUCCGGGCAGCAUCUGGACUGAGGGCCAGGUCAGAGGGAUAGCAGGGCCGUGGGCUCCGAGCGGGCCCUGGUGCCCAGUCACCCCCCAGAGCCUGGCUGCUGACUGUGGGCAUGUGCUUUAGGUCCUGCGUUUGCUUUCUAACUUGGACAGUUCAUAGUGGAAGGAAUUCAAGAGCAGAUUUAUUCCAGUGUGCUUGAAUAACGCAGCUGAGCAUAUCACUCACAUCCCUGCACGAAGGAGGCGGCAGCCCCGUGGGGAAAGCCCCGUGUCCUGCGGGCAGCGGGACGUCUUCAUCUGCAGACUGGACUUGCUGCCGGUCGCUGGACCUGGCUGGGGGUUCCCUGGACUGGCAGCCGCUUUCUAGAGGUGUUUCUUUCAUACCGAGCAUCUCCACUAGUGCCGUGUGACAGAUAAAAGCUUGAGGAAUAUUCCUGAAGACUCUGCUGUUCAUGUUGGUCUGUGGACGGGUGUCUCUGGGUGUGGACGGUGAGCGCUUGAGGCCGGCGAGCCCGUCCACAGCCCCGCGGUCAUGGCACGAGGAGGGGGUGUCUGUGACGCAGCGUGGUCUUCCUGUGCCCAUCUUCUCUAUCUUCCCCCUGGAGAAUGUCCUGUGUCUGCCGCGUGACUUAGAGUGACUCGAUGUCCUAGGAAGCAGAGGCGGAGGCUGCCCUCAACCUUUCCCGGAUCUGGGCAGACAGGCUGCCCGCCUGAGGGCUUGCUUCAGCCAGAAUCCAGAAAGAGCCCCGUCAUUUUGCAGUAAACAAUGAUGCACCUUUUAUUGCAUUUAUAAAUGUCCCCAGAGGCUAUUACUCAAAAGGGGUUCAGUUAAUAAAUACAUAACUAAUAAUUACCUUGGUUCAGAGUGCUGACUUGUGUAACUGCCAUCGGGGUCAAGUAUGUCCGUUUGCUCAA